Molecule: ribosomal RNA, 301 nt
Filed under: uncultured bacterium
Lineage: Bacteria
Description: partial 16S ribosomal RNA
Rfam family: Bacterial small subunit ribosomal RNA
Source: RNAcentral
CAGUCGCCGCGGUAAUACGUAGGGUGCGAGCGUUAAUCGGAAUUACUGGGCGUAAAGCGUGCGCAGGCGGUUAUGUAAGACAGUUGUGAAAUCCCCGGGCUCAACCUGGGAACUGCAUCUGUGACUGCAUAGCUAGAGUACGGUAGAGGGGGAUGGAAUUCCGCGUGUAGCAGUGAAAUGCGUAGAUAUGCGGAGGAACACCGAUGGCGAAGGCAAUCCCCUGGACCUGUACUGACGCUCAUGCACGAAAGCGUGGGGAGCAAACAGGAUUAGAUACCCCUGUAGUCCCUGUCUCUUAUAC